Molecule: ribosomal RNA, 253 nt
Filed under: uncultured bacterium
Lineage: Bacteria
Description: partial 16S ribosomal RNA
Rfam family: Bacterial small subunit ribosomal RNA
Source: RNAcentral
UACGUAGGGUCCGAGCGUUGUCCGGAAUUACUGGGCGUAAAGAGCUCGUAGGCGGUUUGUCGCGUUGUUCGUGAAAACUCACAGCUCAACUGUGGGCGUGCGGGCGAUACGGGCAGACUGGAGUACUGCAGGGGAGACUGGAAUUCCUGGUGUAGCGGUGGAAUGCGCAGAUAUCAGGAGGAACACCGGUGGCGAAGGCGGGUCUCUGGGCCGAUACUGACGCUGAGGCACGAAAGCGUGGGGAGCAAACAGG